AGUGAACGCUGGCGGCGUGCCUAAUACAUGCAAGUCGAACGAUGAAGUCCUAUCUUGCUCGGUUGGAUUAGUGGCGCACGGGUGAGUAAUAUAUAGUUAAUCUGCCCUACACAGAGAAACAACAGUUGGAAACGACUGCUAAUACCUCAUACUCCUAUUUGACAUAUGUUAAAUAGGGAAAGUCUUUUCGGGGUAGGAUGAGACUAUAUCGUAUCAGCUAGUUGGUAAGGUAAUGGCUUACCAAGGCUAUGACGCGUAACUGGUCUGAGAGGAUGAUCAGUCAAAUUGGAACUGAGACACGGUCCAAACUCCUACGGGGGGGAGCAGUAAGGAAUAUUGCGAAAUGGGGGAAACCCUGACGCAGCCACGCCGCGUGGAGGAUGACACUUUUCGGAGCGUAAACUCCUUUUAUCAGGAAAGAAUAAUGACGGUACCUGAUGAAUAAGCACCGGCUAACUCCGUG
This 463-nucleotide ribosomal RNA is filed under the name uncultured bacterium. RNAcentral's name for it is "partial 16S ribosomal RNA". It matches the Rfam family "Bacterial small subunit ribosomal RNA", at positions 29 to 507 of the family's 1533-position model. The record is from RNAcentral.